Molecule: long non-coding RNA, 2924 nt
Organism: Myotis lucifugus (little brown bat)
Lineage: Eukaryota; Metazoa; Chordata; Mammalia; Chiroptera; Vespertilionidae
Exons: 2
Source: RefSeq, a predicted model, not a curated record
AGCCUGUUUCUAAGGCGCACAGAGUAAACUUGGGCAUGGCCAUCAGAGCAGAAUCCCAGUGGCCAGCAACUUCCGUGCAAAGCCGCACACGUGGGACGGAGAGCGCUCAGAAUCCAGCAGCGGGAGGCAUUCCACGCGGGCGAGGCAGAGGGGGGCCCCGCACGGCCUGUUCACGUUCUCCACCAAUUCCCCGAGAGCUGGCUCGGCGGCCUCCACCCGGCGAGGUGUGUCUGUGCUUCCCACGGCCCCGCUCCAGCUGCCGAAAGGAGACGCAGUAAGCGAUCCCGCGCGUCACACCGGCGAAGAGGAGACGCUGUCACCGCCUUCCCACCGGGAAUGUCCAUCCAACCUGGCAGGUCGGGGGCGGGACUCGCCCGCGGGCCCCACCCAGCCACCCCCAUUGGCUGAGGCCUCCAGGGGGCGGGGUCAGCGCCGCUCUGUGGGAACCCGGGUCCCGGCGGUGGCGGAGAAGCCCCGGUGGGUGUGGAGCGAGCGUCUGCGCCCAGGAAGCCCUGCCUGGGGGCCAUGGGGGGAGAGGUGAGGCUGCCGCCCGGAGAGCCCUGCCGAGAAGAGCUUUAUUAACAUGAAAGUAUGACAUGAUGAAAAUAGAAUGUAAGAAAUACACCCAUCACCUGUGAAGCACCAACUGCAUGAAGACCGUGUGCCAGGGGACACCAAGGCACCUUCCUGAGAAUUCUGACCUGGUUUGGCGGUGGGGAGGAUUGGAGAUGGAGAGGGACCCAGUGGUUUUCCAAGUUUUCUUUAAGUGAGCCACCUUCCCAGGGUGCAGCCAACCAGAAGAGUGACAAAUGACAGGUGGUUUUAGAAUUGAUGCAGCCUAUCUUCGUGGUUUCGAGAGGAGAAGAUUCAGGAACUGUGCACUUCUUUAAGAACUGGCUGUAUCUCUCAUGUACUGAUGAGCGUGUGUCCCACUUUGAUGUAGAUAAUCUUUUUUUUCCAUGUAUAGAAUCUUAAAUUUUCAAAACAGGUUAACAUAAAAAUAUAUCAGUUUGCCCUCACACAUGUUCAAUUCUGUGAGUUUUAUUAGGUAACCAUUAUAUCCUUUUGCAGAUACAGAAACCAAGGCCCAGAGAAUUGAAUAAGGUUUCAUAAUUAGUGAUCAAAUUAAGCACAAAAUUAUUGGGGCCUUUAUUUUUUCUGUAGGAGCCCAUCUCCAUUCUCUAGCCUCUUGGUUCAAUGGUAUACAGUAUAAUGAUUCUGAGAUUUUAUUCUUUAAAAACAUCCAUAUUGUAAACAUGUCUCAAAAUUCCACCAAAUGAACACAAUUUGUAUUAUCAGGACAAGCUGUAUUUUCGGUGUAAAAUAUAGUGGCUUAUAUGUUGAUUUUUACUAAAGUUUAAAUUUUUGCACAAGUUGUUUUCCCAGCCUUCCAGAGAUUUUCUAAGUGGUGAAAUUUAAAAGUGCUUAAAGGUAGUAAAAAUUUCCCACUAAAGUUUGUUCAGAAAACAAUAUACUAUUAAUUGCUGAAUUUAAUAUUUAAUAUGAACUGUAUCAAGGUUUAAAAACCUUGAUAUAAAUGCAUCCUUAUUGCAAUAUUAGUCCUUGGGUUCUUUUCCUGCAUCUUCAUUCAUUAAUCAUUUAUUAACUUUAUGGGAAUUUUAUCUUAACAGUUUAGUGACUUUAGUAAUAUACAGAUUGUAAAGUGAAAACAACAGUUUAUGUAGGAAAUCUGAUAGUAAAUUAUUGGACUUCUUGGCUUCCAAACACACUGAUGGUGGGAAGAUACAGGUUUUUAACUUAAAAAAAAAUCAAUAGUAUUUUUUCAAUUUUAUUUUGGUUAAUUGAAAUAAUGGGCUUCUUCCUCAUCCUAACAGAGUUGAUAUGUAGUCUACUAUGAAUGAUUUCCGAAUUUACUCAAAAUUAUUACUCAUUCUAUUCUGCUCCCCUUACUCCUGUUCCUCUGUUCUCUCACUAAAAUCAUCAGCUCUGUGAGAACAGAAACCUGUUUACCUACCUUGUUGAUCACUAUCUCGCAGGUUCCUAGAACAGGGCACGGCACACAGGAAGUACUCAGUAAGAAUUCACUAAGUGUUGAAUAAAUGAAUACCUAACAUAUGUUUGUGUGGUAGGUGUUCAACAACUAUUUUGUUGAAUGAAUUCAUGGAAAAGCUUUAUGGAUAUACAAUACUGUUCUGUAUAAAACCAUAAUUGAACUGUGAGAAGUUUGGCAGGAUUAAGUAGGGUGAUAUGAUGGAACUUGACUGAGACGUUCCUUUAGAUUGGGAAGAGCGAGAAGGUCUCUCUGAGGAAGUAGCUCCUCAUCAGCCAGCUACUACUUCACUACUCAGGCUAAGUAAGGGUUACUUAAAAGUUUUAAGGUGAGAAGAAACUUAGCCUAAGAAAGGAACAGAGAAAAAAAAAACAAUAGUAGGGAAUGAGGUUGCAGAGGUAGCUGGAGGCAGGAUUCUGUAGACCCUUGUAAACUGUGGUGGGACUUUUGGAUAUUUUUUCUGAAUGAGGAGGGAAGCCAUUGUAGAAUUUGGGAAGGAGAAAUGACAACAUCGGACCUACUUGUGUAAAGGCUCUUUUCACCUGAUCUUGUCCUCUGCUAUCCUUCAACCUGAUCACUCAGCCCAGCCAGCCUGUCGGAUUGCAGCCCCGCCCCCCACCCGCAAGCAAACUGCGCCCUCAAGAUUUUUGCAUUUAUACUUAGCAGAGAGGUUUUACAUUUAAUGUUGUUUUUUAAAAAGUAUUUCUUUAUGCUGCUUUUACCACUGUCCAUGGCACUCAGCAUAUUAUGUAGUUAUUAGUUCAUUUGUCUAUCUUAUUUUCCCCUCAUUAGAAUGACUAUAAGAGAGUAGGAAUGUUCUUUUGUUCACUGUUGUAUCCCCAGCUUCUAGAAAAUGCCUGACAGAUAAUAGACACUCAAUAAAAAUGUGAUCUGCAGAAUAAAUUUAGGGACA